UGACCUCUGUCAUGUUCGCAAGGAGAUUAUUCUCGAACCGACUCCAUUUCUUGAGGGAGCCAAAUAGCUGCUGAUCAAGGUUGAACCUACAUAGUAUUUGGGUAUACCGAGACAGCGGUGCGGUUCCCACCUGAGCCUGCGGGUUCAGAAUGCAAGAUCCGUGCGGCAUUGCGAUGGAGGUCUU
RNAcentral lists this non-coding RNA (184 nucleotides) under Planctomycetota bacterium. Its description in RNAcentral is "6S RNA". It matches the Rfam family "6S / SsrS RNA". Rfam says of the family: E. coli 6S RNA was the first non coding RNA to be sequenced, but its function was unknown until recently. The record is from RNAcentral. Lineage: Bacteria; Pseudomonadati; Planctomycetota.